RNAcentral lists this ribosomal RNA (253 nucleotides) under uncultured bacterium. RNAcentral describes it as "partial 16S ribosomal RNA". It matches the Rfam family "Bacterial small subunit ribosomal RNA", at positions 524 to 776 of the family's 1533-position model. The record is from RNAcentral.
UACGUAGGGGGCGAGCGUUGCUCGGAAUUACUGGGCGUAAAGGGAGUGCAGGCGGCCGGUUAAGUCGAAGAUGAAAUCCCGAGGCUCAACUUCGGAACGGUCUUCGAUACUGAUCGGCUUGAGGCUGGUUGAGGAGAGCGGAAUUCCCGGUGGAGCGGUGAAAUGCGUAGAUAUCGGGAGGAACACCAGAGGCGAAGGCGGCUCUCUAAACUAGUCCUGACGCUGAGACUCGAAAGCUAGGGGAGCAAACGGG